GUGGGGAAUAUUGGACAAUGGGGGGAACCCUGAUCCAGCCAUGCCGCGUGUGUGAAGAAGGCCUUUUGGUUGUAAAGCACUUUAAGCGAGGAGGAGGCUACCGAGAUUAAUACUCUUGGAUAGUGGACGUUACUCGCAGAAUAAGCACCGGCUAACUCUGUGCCAGCAGCCGCGGUAAUACAGAGGGUGCAAGCGUUAAUCGGAUUUACUGGGCGUAAAGCGCGAGGAGGUGGCCAAUUAAGUCAAAUGUGAAAUCCCCGAGCUUAACUUGGGAAUUGCAUUCGAUACUGGUUGGCUAGAGUAUGGGAGAGGAUGGUAGAAUUCCAGGUGUAGCGGUGAAAUGCGUAGAGAUCUGGAGGAAUACCGAUGGCGAAGGCAGCCAUCUGGCCUAAUACUGACACUGAGGUGCGAAAGCAUGGGGAGCAAACAGGAUUAGAUACCCUUGUAGUCC
This 451-nucleotide ribosomal RNA is filed under the name uncultured bacterium. RNAcentral describes it as "partial 16S ribosomal RNA". It matches the Rfam family "Bacterial small subunit ribosomal RNA", at positions 354 to 796 of the family's 1533-position model. The record is from RNAcentral.